Molecule: long non-coding RNA, 1608 nt
Organism: Homo sapiens (human)
Lineage: Eukaryota; Metazoa; Chordata; Mammalia; Primates; Hominidae
Source: Ensembl
GCCUUUCAUGGGGUGGGGUCCCUAAGAGGUACUGCAGACUAACUCCUCUUUUCAUCUCUUACCCCACCUGGAGGAAGAGGCAUGGCCAGGAUGGACACCAGAGCACAUUUCCCAGCAUUUCCAAGGGGAAAGGGCAGCAUCUCAGCAUGCAGACUCCAACAUGGCCACAGAAAGGUCGAGUGGCGCAGAGGAGCAGGCUGCUGCCCAGGCCCCUAGGGCCACUUCCAAAGGAGUGUGACCACGACUAGGUUGCUGUGGACUCACUCGCAUUACAGGGCUGCGCCCUAUACACCUGUUUGUAAAGGGUCCUCCUAGAAUGUAAUGGUGAGGGACCACCAAGCGGUGGACCAAGAAUUCCAAACAGACCAGCUCCCUGCCUUGCCAGGAAACCAGAUGUGGCCCAGAUGUCCAUAGCAGUUCCUCCCACAGGGUGGGACACCAGCUAUUCUGUGCAACCCCUCCCAACCCUUCUUCCAGGGUCAGGGAGGAAAGCUGGCAACCUCCGUUGUCCCUUCCCAUUUGGGUUGCUAGAAGGGAGCAACUCACUCAUCCUCCUCUUCCUGCCAAGAGCCACCUGGGCUUACCUCUCCAGCAGCCACCUAGGUUCAACCUGUGGUCUAACCUCAAGCCCUCUGCUGACAGGUUAAGUCAAGAUCGCCGGGAAGGAAGGCGUCCAGUUUCAUUACACACACAGACGUACACACACACCCGACACCGACCCACGCGCCUGGGCUCUGCACAGUGGCUAGACCCCAAAAAGCCGAUUCUCCUGUUCCCUCCGUGGUGGCCUCAGUCUUUUGGCGGCGCCCUCUGCUGGCCACUAGGAAGUGCAGGAAAAAACAGUCUGCCCAUAGACGCUUGGUGGAUCUGGGAAAGGGGACAAGAGGCUUUUCGUGCCCAGCCUCACGUACGUGCCCUGCCAUAGGCCGUGCCCCCACCCCCACACCCCUCACCCCACAGAACAAGCGCCUAGUGACUGCAGAAACAGACACCCAGUCAUGGCACACAAAGGCACCCACACCAGGCCAGCCAUCAUGGCUGCCCCCCUGGCAGCCACCCUGGAGGGCAGACAGAUGCCUUCACAAGCCAUUUUGUCUUUCUCCAGCUUGGUGCCAGGACUGGGGGUGGGGGAAAGGGUUUCUCCUGAGACUUCUCUGAGUAAGGGGGCCCACAGAGGGGUUUCCUUAUGUACCCCAGCUGUGGCCUCUUGCCCCCUCUCUCCUGUAACCCAUGUUUACAGAGGCCUCCAAGUGCUCUACCCUGCAUGGGGACCUGCCCAGGCGAGGGGGUCACAGGAGCCUCCAACCCAGGAGGGGAAGUGAGAGAUAAAGCCCCUAAGGAAGGGACACCUAAGUGCCUCCCCAACCAGGGUCUGUCCUUCGUGUCCCAAGUGUGUGUAGUGGAGGGAGUGCUCCCCAGUUUCCUGGGGGUUGAGGUGGGGCGGUAUUCUAAACCUUUGGAAAUGGAAUAGAACUACCUAAAGUAUAUGAAAUUAGAUACUACUUGGGACACUAUGUCUUGGUUCUGUAUGUCCUGGGACAGUGUAAAAAGUGAUCACAAAAUUUUCAACAUCACAGUCUAAAAUAAAAACCUGCCUCUUGUCUGCCU